RNAcentral lists this ribosomal RNA (497 nucleotides) under uncultured bacterium. RNAcentral's name for it is "partial 16S ribosomal RNA". It matches the Rfam family "Bacterial small subunit ribosomal RNA", at positions 28 to 507 of the family's 1533-position model. The record is from RNAcentral.
GAUGAACGCUGGCGGCGUGCCUAAUACAUGCAAGUCGAGCGAACAGACGAGGAGCUUGCUCCUCUGACGUUAGCGGCGGACGGGUGAGUAACACGUGGAUAACCUACCUAUAAGACUGGGAUAACUUCGGGAAACCGGAGCUAAUACCGGAUAACAUGUUGAACCGCAUGGUUCAACAGUGAAAGACGGUUUUGCUGUCACUUAUAGAUGGAUCCGCGUCGCAUUAGCUAGUUGGUAAGGUAACGGCUUACCAAGGCAACGAUGCGUAGCCGACCUGAGAGGGUGAUCGGCCACACUGGAACUGGGACACGGUCCAGACUCCUACGGGAGGCAGCAGUAGGGAAUCUUCCGCAAUGGGCGAAAGCCUGACGGAGCAACGCCGCGUGAGUGAAGAAGGUCUUCGGAUCGUAAAACUCUGUUAUUAGGGAAGAACAAAUGUGUAAGUAACUAUGCACGUCUUGACGGUACCUAAUCAGAGAGCCACGGCUAACUACGUG